GGGGAAUUUUCCGCAAUGGGCGAAAGCCUGACGGAGCAAUACCGCGUGAGGGAGGAAGGCUCUUGGGUUGUAAACCUCUUUUCUCAGGGAAUAAGAACUGAAGGUACCUGAGGAAUCAGCAUCGGCUAACUCCGUGCCAGCAGCCGCGGUAAUACGGAGGAUGCAAGCGUUAUCCGGAAUGAUUGGGCGUAAAGCGUCCGCAGGUGGUUUAUCAAGUCUGCUGUCAAAGAGUUUGGCUCAACCAAAUAAAGGCAGUGGAAACUGACAGACUGGAGUGCGGUAAGGGCAGAGGGAAUUCCUGGUGUAGCGGUGAAAUGCGUAGAUAUUGGGAAGAACACCGGUGGCGAAAGCGCUCUGCUGGGCCGUAACUGACACUGAGGGACGAAAGCUAGGGGAGCGAAUGGGAUUAGAUACCCCAGNUAGUC
This 425-nucleotide ribosomal RNA is filed under the name uncultured cyanobacterium. Its description in RNAcentral is "bacterial SSU rRNA". It matches the Rfam family "Bacterial small subunit ribosomal RNA", at positions 356 to 795 of the family's 1533-position model. The record is from RNAcentral. Lineage: Bacteria; Bacillati; Cyanobacteriota.